RNAcentral lists this ribosomal RNA (658 nucleotides) under uncultured fungus. RNAcentral's name for it is "eukaryotic LSU rRNA". It matches the Rfam family "Eukaryotic large subunit ribosomal RNA", at positions 24 to 664 of the family's 3401-position model. Lineage: Eukaryota; Fungi. The record is from RNAcentral.
CCCGCUGAACUUAAGCAUAUCAAUAAGCGGAGGAAAAGAAACUAACAAGGAUUCCCCUAGUAACUGCGAGUGAAGCGGGAAGAGCUCAAAUUUAAAAUCUGGCGUGCCUCCGGUCGUCCGAGUUGUAGUCUAGAGAAGCGUUUUCCGUGUUGGACCGUGUAUAAGUCUCUUGGAACAGGGCGUCAUAGAGGGUGAGAAUCCCGUCUUUGACACGGACUACCAAUGCUUUGUGAUGCGCUCUCAAAGAGUCGAGUUGUUUGGGAAUGCAGCUCAAAAUGGGUGGUAAAUUCCAUCUAAAGCUAAAUAUUGGGGAGAGACCGAUAGCGAACAAGUACCGUGAGGGAAAGAUGAAAAGAACUUUGGAAAGAGAGUUAAACAGUACGUGAAAUUGCUGAAAGGGAAACGCUUGAAGUCAGUCGCGUUAGUCGGGGAUCAGCCUUCCUUUUGGUUGGUGUACUUCCUGAUUGACGGGUCAGCAUCAGUUUUGACCGGUGGAUAAGAGCUUGAGGAAUGUGGCAUCUUCGGGUGUGUUAUAGCCUCUUGUUGUAUACAUCGGUUGGGACUGAGGAACUCAACACGCCGCAAGGCCGGGUUUUUAACCACGUACGUGCUUAGGAUGCUGGCAUAAUGGCUUUAAUCGACCCGUCUUGAAACACGG